CAGUCGCCACGGUAAUACGGAGGGAGCUAGCGUUAUUCGGAAUUACUGGGCGUAAAGCGCACGUAGGCGGCUUUGUAAGUAAGAGGUGAAAGCCCAGAGCUCAACUCUGGAAUUGCCUUUUAGACUGCAUCGCUUGAAUCAUGGAGAGGUCAGUGGAAUUCCGAGUGUAGAGGUGAAAUUCGUAGAUAUUCGGAAGAAUACCAGUGGCGAAGGCGGCUGACUGGACAUGUAUUGACGCUGAGGUGCGAAAGCGUGGGGAGCAAACAGGAUUAGAUACCCCAGUAGUCCCUGUCUCUUAUAC
RNAcentral lists this ribosomal RNA (301 nucleotides) under uncultured bacterium. RNAcentral's name for it is "partial 16S ribosomal RNA". It matches the Rfam family "Bacterial small subunit ribosomal RNA", at positions 509 to 807 of the family's 1533-position model. The record is from RNAcentral.